AUGUGCCAAAGGAGGUGUGUGCUCAGAGAGCCUGGCAUGAGGUGGGGCAGGACGGGAGCAGGAAAGGAGGUUUCUGUGUGCAGGAACGGGGGCAGGAUCUGCGUGGUGAGCGGCUCCCUGAGCCCACGUGGGCUGGGGCUUGAGGCAGAAGAGGAAAAAGGGGAGACCUCAGUGGCUGCACCUGGGCAGGUCACCUUGGCUGCUUUGUGGCUGGCAGGGAGAAAUUCACUCUUGUGGGAUGCUGCUGGCUUGGGCAGAUCUUUAGAAGAAGAGCUGCUACCCCUAGGAGCAGCUGCUCUCCUCCACCAACUACAAACACCAGGGGAUGGGGAAGGCGAUGUGAAGUGAUCUGCCCUCAACCAGCCCACCCAGCCCUUCAGCACAGGAGUCCUCCCUCCAGCUUAGGCAGCGCCAGCAGAUGAGGAAAGUAUCGGGAGAUACCUACACGAGCAGCUUGUUUGGGAAGGA
RNAcentral lists this long non-coding RNA (468 nucleotides) under Cairina moschata (Muscovy duck). Its description in RNAcentral is "domestica (muscovy Duck (domestic type)) lncRNA (ENSCMMG00000007199.1)". The record is from RNAcentral. Lineage: Eukaryota; Metazoa; Chordata; Aves; Anseriformes; Anatidae.